UGGGGAAUAUUGCACAAUGGGCGCAAGCCUGAUGCAGCCAUGCCGCGUGUAUGAAGAAGGCCUUCGGGUUGUAAAGUACUUUCAGCGGGGAGGAAGGCGAUGCGGUUAAUAACCGCGUCGAUUGACGUUACCCGCAGAAGAAGCACCGGCUAACUCCGUGCCAGCAGCCGCGGUAAUACGGAGGGUGCAAGCGUUAAUCGGAAUUACUGGGCGUAAAGCGCACGCAGGCGGUCUGUCAAGUCGGAUGUGAAAUCCCCGGGCUCAACCUGGGAACUGCAUCCGAAACUGGCAGGCUUGAGUCUCGUAGAGGGGGGUAGAAUUCCAGGUGUAGCGGUGAAAUGCGUAGCGAUCUGGAGGAAUACCGGUGGCGAAGGCGGCCCCCUGGACGAAGACUGACGCUCAGGUGCGAAAGCGUGGGGAGCAAACA
Molecule: ribosomal RNA, 427 nt
Filed under: uncultured bacterium
Lineage: Bacteria
Description: partial 16S ribosomal RNA
Rfam family: Bacterial small subunit ribosomal RNA
Source: RNAcentral